Tupaia belangeri chinensis (Chinese tree shrew) is the source of this 894-nucleotide long non-coding RNA. RefSeq lists it as uncharacterized. The transcript is spliced from 5 exons. NCBI's taxonomy places the organism in Eukaryota, Metazoa, Chordata, Mammalia, Scandentia, Tupaiidae. The record is from RefSeq and is a predicted model, not a curated record.
CCCCAUCCUGGCUCCCGAGAUUGACUUGAUCCCCGUGACGUAAGAAUUUUAUGGGCGUCUCUGGUUUGAACUCGAGCCUAAGAGUAACUUGGAGAGAUGGCGGCGGGGCUCCGACCUGGGCUUUGUCCCUUCUUCCCGGUGUGGAGACUCCAAAUCACUGGCUCUCCCACAAGAAAUCUUCCUCCAGUUCAAUUUCAGGCUCUCCUAGAAGCCUCUGCUACGACCAAAUGGAAUGUACGCUCCUCUUCACAAGCCAGGGACUUUUCCUGUUAUUUUCAGCACUUAAAACAGUGACCACUAUUUGGAGUGAACAAACAAGUGACUAUGAUGAACUCUGAACAGAGAUCUGAUUGGACUUAGGAAGGGAGCCAUGAGAUAUUGGAAGAGAAUCCUGAUGGUGAGAACAGCACAGGUCUGAAGCAGAAGUGUGCCAGCAAUGAGCAAAGAACAGGGCGACAACCAGUGUGCCUGGAGCAGCUGUUCAAGGGACAGUAGUGAGAGGAUGGAGCUGGAAGAAAAAGGGUGGAGAUGAAAUAAGGUCCUAAAGAAUCUGCAGGAAACAAUUUCCAAACCACUGCUUUAGGCCACACCUGUGAGGAGCAGUAGAGCCCGCUGGGUCUCCUGACCAACCAGCACAAUCUGUUUGAAGCUCAUGGAGUGGUGAAAUGUCAUCUUGAAGACCCGUUGCCCACUGGACUGCAGAUAGACCUCAACACAGUCACAAGCGCGGUUGCUGGUUGUGCCUACCACUCCUGAUUGCUCUCGAGUGGCCAAGACAUAAAGGGCCGGAUCCCAGAACCCUGCUCUCGGAGGCGUGGACUGAGCCUGCGACAGAUGCGUCUCCAAGCGCCUUCUGCAUCACACACUUCCUGGAAGUAGCGGCAGGUCUGGCCC